This 507-nucleotide ribosomal RNA is filed under the name uncultured bacterium. Its description in RNAcentral is "bacterial SSU rRNA". It matches the Rfam family "Bacterial small subunit ribosomal RNA", at positions 1 to 526 of the family's 1533-position model. The record is from RNAcentral.
CGUGAGAGCUGUCCUGGCUCACAAUGAAUGCUAGCGAUAUGCUUAACACAUGCAAGUCGAACGUAAUAUUGAAUAUUCAAUAUUAAGUGGCGUACGGGUGAGUAAUGCAUAAGAAUUAAUCUAACAGUUCGGGAUAUAUAUAUGGUAUAACUAACCAGAAAAAUGGGUAUUUAAAAUACCUGUUUUGUAUUAAUACCGAAUAAAAAGAUUUUAUCGCUGUUAGGUGAGCUUAUGUAGGAUUAGGUAGUUGGUGGGGUAAAAGCUUACCAAGCCUUUGAUCCUUAGCUGGUCUGAGAGGAUGAUCAGCCACACUGGGACUGAGACACGGCCCUGACUCUUACGGGAGGCAGCAGUGGGGAAUAUUGGACAAUGGGCGAAAGCUUGAUCCAGCAAUAUCGCGUGAGUGAUGAAGCCUAUUUUGGUGUAAAACUCUUUCGGCAAGGAUGAUAAUGACCGUACUUGCAAAAGAAGUCCCGGCUAACUCUGUGCCAGCCGCCGCGGUAAUUC